This 350-nucleotide ribosomal RNA is filed under the name uncultured fungus. RNAcentral describes it as "SSU rRNA". It matches the Rfam family "Eukaryotic small subunit ribosomal RNA", at positions 1326 to 1698 of the family's 1831-position model. Lineage: Eukaryota; Fungi. The record is from RNAcentral.
CGAUAACGAACGAGACCUUACUCUGCUAAAUAGCCAGGCUAACUUUGGUCGGUCGCCGGCUUCUUAGAGAGACUAUCAACUCAAGUUGAUGGAAGUUUGAGGCAAUAACAGGUCUGUGAUGCCCUUAGAUGUUCUGGGCCGCACGCGCGCUACACUGACAGAGCCAACGAGUUCUUUUCCUUGUUCGAAAGAAUUGGGUAAUCUUGUUAAACUCUGUCGUGCUGGGGAUAAAGCAUUGCAAUUAUUGCUUUUCAACGAGGAAUGCCUAGUAAGCGCGUGUCAUCAGCAUGCGUUGAUUACGUCCCUGACCUUUGUACACACCGCCCGUCGCUACUACCGAUUGAAUGGCU